This 445-nucleotide ribosomal RNA is filed under the name uncultured bacterium. Its description in RNAcentral is "partial 16S ribosomal RNA". It matches the Rfam family "Bacterial small subunit ribosomal RNA", at positions 354 to 796 of the family's 1533-position model. The record is from RNAcentral.
GUGAGGAAUAUUGGUCAAUGGGCGGAAGCCUGAACCAGCCAUGCCGCGUGAAGGAUGAAGGUUCUAUGGAUUGUAAACUUCUUUUAUUUGGGAAUAAACCCUCCGACGUGUUGGAGGCUGAAGGUACCAAAUGAAUAAGCACCGGCUAACUCCGUGCCAGCAGCCGCGGUAAUACGGAGGGUGCAAGCGUUAUCCGGAAUCAUUGGGUUUAAAGGGUCCUCAGGCGGAUUUUUAAGUCAGUGGUGAAAGACUACAGCUCAACUGUAGAACUGCCAUUGAUACUGUAAGUCUUGAAGUCGGUCGAAGUGGGCGGAAUAUGACAUGUAGCGGUGAAAUGCAUAGAUAUGUCAUAGAACAACGAUAGCGAAGGCAGCUCACUAGGCCUGAAUUGACGCUCAUGGACGAAAGCGUGGGGAGCAAACAGGAUUAGAUACCCGGGUAGUCC